This 75-nucleotide non-coding RNA is filed under the name Desulfosarcina cetonica. RNAcentral's name for it is "c-di-GMP-I". It matches the Rfam family "c-di-GMP-I-GGC riboswitch aptamer". The record is from RNAcentral. Lineage: Bacteria; Pseudomonadati; Thermodesulfobacteriota; Desulfobacteria; Desulfobacterales; Desulfosarcinaceae.
UGUCGAUAAAGCCAAACCCCGGGUGACCGGGGGACGGAAAACCACGGGUCUCCAUGAGAUCGCCGGGUUGCCGAA